This 292-nucleotide ribosomal RNA is filed under the name uncultured Latescibacterota bacterium. RNAcentral describes it as "uncultured Latescibacteria bacterium partial 16S ribosomal RNA". It matches the Rfam family "Bacterial small subunit ribosomal RNA", at positions 1091 to 1382 of the family's 1533-position model. The record is from RNAcentral. Lineage: Bacteria; Pseudomonadati; Candidatus Latescibacterota.
AACGAGCGCAACCCCUGCCCUUAGUUACCAGCGGGUAAUGCCGGGAACUCUAAGGGGACUGCCUUGGUUAACGAGGAGGAAGGUGGGGACGACGUCAAGUCCUCAUGGCCCUUACAUCCCGGGCUACACACGUGCUACAAUGGCAGGUACAGAGGGCUGCGAAGCCGCGAGGUGGAGCGAAUCCCAGAAAACCUGUCUCAGUCCGGAUUGAAGUCUGCAACUCGACUUCAUGAAGGCGGAAUCGCUAGUAACCGCGAAUCAGCAGGUCGCGGUGAAUACGUUCCCGGGCCUU